Long non-coding RNA from Pezoporus occidentalis (night parrot), 350 nucleotides. RefSeq lists it as uncharacterized. NCBI's taxonomy places the organism in Eukaryota, Metazoa, Chordata, Aves, Psittaciformes, Psittacidae. The record is from RefSeq and is a predicted model, not a curated record. The transcript is spliced from 3 exons.
UGCUAGCCUCACAUUACUGUGGGAGCUAGGUGGUUUCAAAAUGGCUCUCAUGUCUCUGCUUUACAUCGCAGCAUGACACACAGACGCACGCCAAGUCUUGAGUUAAAGACUCGAGUUGUUCUGGGCACGUGUGUGUCCUGCUGCUGGCAGCCUGGAGCCACAGGUGCUGUUCACUUCACUCCUGAGAGAGUGCAGUUUCAACAGCAAAGCUGCUGAUGCAAAUGGAGCAGAAUUAAAAGCUUGGGAAUAAAUUAAUAAAUUAACUCAGUGGCUUCAACAUUUGUCAUCCUGCUAUGCAGCCAACCCUGUUUAUUUAAAUCACUCAUCACUGAUCGCACCUCAGAUUCCUG